Molecule: transfer RNA, 68 nt
Filed under: Nephrotoma tenuipes
Lineage: Eukaryota; Metazoa; Arthropoda; Insecta; Diptera; Tipulidae
Description: tRNA-Phe
Rfam family: tRNA
About the family: Transfer RNA (tRNA) molecules are approximately 80 nucleotides in length. Their secondary structure includes four short double-helical elements and three loops (D, anti-codon, and T loops).
Source: RNAcentral
AUUCAAAUAGCUUAUAAUUAGAGCAUAACAUUGAAGCUGUUAUGGAGAUUUGUUUAAAUCUUUGAAUA